This 403-nucleotide ribosomal RNA is filed under the name uncultured bacterium. RNAcentral describes it as "bacterial SSU rRNA". It matches the Rfam family "Bacterial small subunit ribosomal RNA", at positions 355 to 775 of the family's 1533-position model. The record is from RNAcentral.
UAAGGAAUAUUCCACAAUGGGCGAAAGCCUGAUGGAGCGACGCCGCGUGAGGGAAGAAGGCCUUUGGGUUGUAAACCUCUUUUGUGGGGGAUGAUAAUGACAGUACCCCACGAAUAAGCCUCGGCUAACUACGUGCCAGCAGCCGCGGUAAUACGUAGGAGGCGAGCGUUGUCCGGAUUUACUGGGCGUAAAGCGCGCGCAGGCGGCACACUAAGUACGUUGUGAAAUCUCCCUGCCUAACGGGGAGGGUGCAAUGUAAACUGGUGAGCUAGAGGACGGUAGAGGGGGGUAGAAUUGCUGGUGUAGCGGUGAAAUGCGUAGAGAUCAGCAGGAAUACCCGUGGCGAAGGCGGCCCCCUGGGCCGUAUCUGACGCUGAGGCGCGAAGGCUAGGGGAGCGAACGG